Molecule: long non-coding RNA, 729 nt
Organism: Chroicocephalus ridibundus (black-headed gull)
Lineage: Eukaryota; Metazoa; Chordata; Aves; Charadriiformes; Laridae
Exons: 3
Source: RefSeq, a predicted model, not a curated record
CCUUGAAAUGUGCCUGGGUUUGUGCGUGGGUGUUACACUGAGCUGUGCUGCUGCUCGCAGCGGAGCGGGAUUCAGAGCUGUGUCCCGGGUGGCAUGGGGGGAAUAUUGGCUAUCUGUUCCUCAGCGUGGCUCGCAAAGCGUCGGUGCACCGCGGGGCUACCUCGUGCUCGAAUUUCUUCUCCUAAUUUGAAGGUCUUUCGGUUGUUAAGGGGGGAUUGCUGUGCAGGAGGUGACGUGGGCUUGGCCUCGCGGCGAUGGACGCGGUUGCGUUCUUGCAGGUCCUGAAGCAGCCCGUGGACAUCGCUGUGGCGCGGGAUGUCGCUGCAGGCGCUCGUGAUGGCCUCGGAGGGUGAGGAUCCCCUCUCUGCGUACCGGAGCAAGGGAUCCCAAAACGCAUCCCGCUCAGGAUUCACAGAGAUGCUGCUGAAGGACCCGGAGAGGACGCCCUUUGGAGGAGAAACACUGCAAAAAGCUGCCCGUGGCGUAGCUAUUCAGCACGUGCUGAGGCAGGGACUCCUUUUUGCUCUUCUCAGUCUCGGAAGUGUAAAUACCAGGAAAUAAACCCAACGCGUUUAGCUACAACUUGGAAAGAAACGCUCUCUUGCGAAUUCCGAACUCCCAGUGCGAUUCCUGGGCAGCCAUCCUGAGAUGGGGAGAUUCCUGGGUGCGAGCAAAUACGCUCUGAGCUGCGCGGGCGAGCAAAGAGCCAGCGCUGGGGAAGGUUUCUGG